Long non-coding RNA from Helianthus annuus (common sunflower), 1074 nucleotides. RefSeq lists it as uncharacterized. The transcript is spliced from 3 exons. Lineage: Eukaryota; Viridiplantae; Streptophyta; Magnoliopsida; Asterales; Asteraceae. The record is from RefSeq and is a predicted model, not a curated record.
UUGAUCAUAGUUUUUGAGCCCACUGUCACAUGGGGUGUUGAACCUAACAUAUAGUAAUAUUACCUUUUUAAUAUUACAUAUUCUACAAAUAAAGGUGGUAUAGAGAGCUUUUGUAUGAAAACCCUUUGCUGCUAAUUCAAUCUUUAACUGAUUAAAAGACGUUCUUUGAAUAUAAUGUUUGUAUGGGCUUAAAUAGAAAUAUAGAAUACUAAGUUUACCUCAACUAUGAUUCACCUUUUCCAAUAAAGAAGUGUAUAAAAGAAAGUAACAAAUUGUACACAAUCUAAAAGAAGAUGCACUUACUGACUUAUUUAUGCCCACAUAUACUGCAUUAACGCAAUGAUCACCGAUGACACUUCAUUUGCGAAUGUUGUGUUUUGGUAUAGGGUGCAAAGUGUGCGAGCUGGGUUGCAAAGUGUGCGAGCUGGGGGAAAGUUGGGUAAUGGGUCAAAACUGGUCGGGUCAGGUUUGGUUGACCCAUAACUUUUAUAUAUAACAUGUAGUUUCUACUUUAAUUACAAAAUCGUGUUAUUUCAUGAUAUUUGCUUUUAUCCAGGUUUUUGUUUUGAUAAUUAUCCGAACAUGACAAUGAUGCAUAUCUUGAAGCCUAUGAAGGUCUUUGCCGGAACUAUCCUUACAUUGUUGAAUAAGAAGAGGGAGUAAGGCACCUAAUGAAAAUCCUUGCAGCCACUAGAAAGUAUUGACCCGCCUUAUUAUUUUCGGAUAUAUGUGCCUUUGUCAUAAAGAGACGACCAACAGACAACGACAACAACGAUGCAGUGAUAAACAAGACAAUUGAUGCCGUAUUUUUUAUAGCGCUGUGGUGCUUGAAUCGGGUUGUGAUUGGUAACGAUUUGCAAUGGUCGUGCCUACGCAACUUAUAUCGGAGGUUAGUAUGGUGAAAUUUGCAGUUUUUAAAUUUGAAGUCGCAUCUUUUUCAUUUACGCAACUAAUGGAGUUGAUCAACGUCUGCUAUCUAAUCUUCUCAUACAGUGAUGAGAUAACCGGAGCGACGUGUUGAAGCUGGUUAGUUUCGUGUUGGUCAUAUUCAUUUAAGUGUGGUCAUUUCCUGCC